AUUGCAGUCUGCAACUCGACUGCAUGAAGUCGGAAUCGCUAGUAAUCGCGGAUCAGCAUGCCGCGGUGAAUACGUUCCCGGGCCUUGUACACACCGCCCGUCACACCAUGAGAGUCGGGAACACCCGAAGUCCGUAGCCUAACCGCAAGGAGGGCGCGGCCGAAGGUGGGUUUGGUAAUUGGGGUGAAGUCGUAACAAGGUACC
This 204-nucleotide ribosomal RNA is filed under the name uncultured bacterium. Its description in RNAcentral is "partial 16S ribosomal RNA". It matches the Rfam family "Bacterial small subunit ribosomal RNA", at positions 1297 to 1500 of the family's 1533-position model. The record is from RNAcentral.